UACGGAGGGGGCUAGCGUUGUUCGGAAUUACUGGGCGUAAAGCGCACGUAGGCGGCUUUGUAAGUUAGAGGUGAAAGCCCGGGGCUCAACUCCGGAAUUGCCUUUAAGACUGCAUCGCUCGAGUUGUGGAGAGGUAAGUAGAAUUCCGAGUGUAGAGGUGAAAUUCGUAGAUAUUCGGAAGAACACCAGUGGCGAAGGCGACUUACUGGACACAUACUGACGCUGAGGUGCGAAAGCGUGGGGAGCGAACAGG
RNAcentral lists this ribosomal RNA (253 nucleotides) under uncultured bacterium. RNAcentral's name for it is "partial 16S ribosomal RNA". It matches the Rfam family "Bacterial small subunit ribosomal RNA", at positions 524 to 776 of the family's 1533-position model. The record is from RNAcentral.